This 142-nucleotide small RNA is filed under the name Flavobacterium noncentrifugens. RNAcentral's name for it is "Flavo-1 RNA". It matches the Rfam family "Flavo-1 RNA". Lineage: Bacteria; Pseudomonadati; Bacteroidota; Flavobacteriia; Flavobacteriales; Flavobacteriaceae. The record is from RNAcentral.
UUUUAGCCCGGAUGGCAGCGGAAAGCCCGGAGGCUGAAAAAUUAAUUUUUGCCGAUAAAAAAAAGCGACCAACGGAAGCUCUUUUUUGUCGUGGAAAAAUAUUUUUUCGGGCGAGGACUUGCAGCGUACAGCCGGAUUGGCU